GACGAACGCUGGCGGCGUGCCUAAUACAUGCAAGUCGAGCGAAGUUUUUUGGUGCUUGCACCGGAAAAACUUAGCGGCGAACGGGUGAGUAACACGUAAAGAACCUGCCUCAUAGACUGGGACAACUAUUGAAAACGAUAGCUAAUACCGGAUAACAGCAUUAACUGCAUGGUUGAUGUUUAAAAGUUGGUUUUGCUAACACUAUGAGAUGGCUUUGCGGUGCAUUAGCUAGUUGGUGGGGUAAAGGCCUACCAAGGCGACGAUGCAUAGCCGACCUGAGAGGGUGAUCGGCCACACUGGGACUGAGACACGGCCCAGACUCCUACGGGAGGCAGCAGUAGGGAAUCUUCCGCAAUGGGCGAAAGCCUGACGGAGCAACGCCGCGUGAGUGAAGAAGGAUUUCGGUUCGUAAAGCUCUGUUGUUAGGGAAGAAUGA
Molecule: ribosomal RNA, 436 nt
Filed under: Gemella haemolysans
Lineage: Bacteria; Bacillati; Bacillota; Bacilli; Caryophanales; Gemellaceae
Description: bacterial SSU rRNA
Rfam family: Bacterial small subunit ribosomal RNA
Source: RNAcentral